GCCUCCGUAGCUCAAUGGUAGAGCAGCUGACUCUUAAUCAGCGGGUUGUAGGUUCGAGUCCUACCGGGGGUACCA
This 75-nucleotide transfer RNA is filed under the name Planctomycetota bacterium. RNAcentral describes it as "tRNA-Lys". It matches the Rfam family "tRNA". Rfam says of the family: Transfer RNA (tRNA) molecules are approximately 80 nucleotides in length. Their secondary structure includes four short double-helical elements and three loops (D, anti-codon, and T loops). Further hydrogen bonds mediate the characteristic L-shaped molecular structure. tRNAs have two regions of fundamental functional importance: the anti-codon, which is responsible for specific mRNA codon recognition, and the 3' end, to which the tRNAs corresponding amino acid is attached (by aminoacyl-tRNA synthetases). tRNAs cope with the degeneracy of the genetic code in two manners: having more than one tRNA (with a specific anti-codon) for a particular amino acid; and 'wobble' base-pairing, i.e. permitting non-standard base-pairing at the 3rd anti-codon position. Lineage: Bacteria; Pseudomonadati; Planctomycetota. The record is from RNAcentral.